CUACACUUAGUUGCCAGCACGGGAGGUGGGCACUCUAAGUGAACUGUCGCCGACAAGGCGAAGGAAGGUGGGGAUGACGUCAAAUCAUCAUGCCCUUUAUGGCCUGGGCCACACACGUGCUACAAUGGCCGGUACAACGGGAGGCGAAGGUGCGAACCGGAGCGAAGCCCUUAAAGCCGGUCUCAGUUCAGAUUGCAGGCCGCAACUCGCCUGCAUGAAGGCGGAAUCGCUAGUAAUCGCGGAUCAGCAUGCCGCGGUGAA
This 261-nucleotide ribosomal RNA is filed under the name uncultured bacterium. Its description in RNAcentral is "partial 16S ribosomal RNA". It matches the Rfam family "Bacterial small subunit ribosomal RNA", at positions 1105 to 1366 of the family's 1533-position model. The record is from RNAcentral.